ACGGGUGAGUAAUGCCUAGGAAUCUGCCUGGUAGUGGGGGAUAACGUCCGGAAACGGGCGCUAAUACCGCAUACGUCCUACGGGAGAAAGCAGGGGACCUUCGGGCCUUGCGCUAUCAGAUGAGCCUAGGUCGGAUUAGCUAGUUGGUGAGGUAAAGGCUCACCAAGGCGACGAUCCGUAACUGGUCUGAGAGGAUGAUCAGUCACACUGGAACUGAGACACGGUCCAGACUCCUACGGGAGGCAGCAGUGGGGAAUAUUGGACAAUGGGCGAAAGCCUGAUCCAGCCAUGCCGCGUGUGUGAAGAAGGUCUUCGGAUUGUAAAGCACUUUAAGUUGGGAGGAAGGGCAGUAAGCUAAUAUCUUGCUGUUUUGACGUUACCGACAGAAUAAGCACCGGCUAACUUCGUGCCAGCAGCCGCGGUAAUACGAAGGGUGCAAGCGUUAAUCGGAAUUACUGGGCGUAAAGCGCGCGUAGGUGGUUCGUUAAGUUGGAUGUGAAAGCCCCGGGCUCAACCUGGGAACUGCAUCCAAAACUGGCGAGCUAGAGUACGGUAGAGGGUGGUGGAAUUUCCUGUGUAGCGGUGAAAUGCGUAGAUAUAGGAAGGAAC
This 609-nucleotide ribosomal RNA is filed under the name Pseudomonas sp. EECC-313. RNAcentral's name for it is "bacterial SSU rRNA". It matches the Rfam family "Bacterial small subunit ribosomal RNA", at positions 102 to 707 of the family's 1533-position model. Lineage: Bacteria; Pseudomonadati; Pseudomonadota; Gammaproteobacteria; Pseudomonadales; Pseudomonadaceae. The record is from RNAcentral.